GAUGAACGCUGGCGGCGUGCUUAACACAUGCAAGUCGAACGAUGAAGCCCAGCUUGCUGGGUGGAUUAGUGGCGAACGGGUGAGUAACACGUGAGUAACCUGCCCUUAACUCUGGGAUAAGCCUGGGAAACUGGGUCUAAUACCGGAUAGGAGCGUCCACCGCAUGGUGGGUGUUGGAAAGAUUUAUCGGUUUUGGAUGGACUCGCGGCCUAUCAGCUUGUUGGUGAGGUAAUGGCUCACCAAGGCGACGACGGGUAGCCGGCCUGAGAGGGUGACCGGCCACACUGGGACUGAGACACGGCCCAGACUCCUACGGGAGGCAGCAGUGGGGAAUAUUGCACAAUGGGCGCAAGCCUGAUGCAGCGACGCCGCGUGAGGGAUGACGGCCUUCGGGUUGUAAACCUCUUUCAGUAGGGAAGAAGCGAAAGUGACGGUACCUACAGAAGAAGCACCGGCUAACUACGU
Molecule: ribosomal RNA, 465 nt
Filed under: uncultured bacterium
Lineage: Bacteria
Description: partial 16S ribosomal RNA
Rfam family: Bacterial small subunit ribosomal RNA
Source: RNAcentral